GAGUUUGUGUAGCUCAGUGGUAGAGUGCAUACUUUGUAUGUAUGAUGGCCUGGGUUCAAUUCCCAGCCGUUUCA
RNAcentral lists this transfer RNA (74 nucleotides) under Dallia pectoralis (Alaska blackfish). Its description in RNAcentral is "tRNA-OTHER". The stretch from base 9 to 67 matches the Rfam family "tRNA", at positions 7 to 64 of the family's 71-position model. From Rfam's summary of the family: Transfer RNA (tRNA) molecules are approximately 80 nucleotides in length. Their secondary structure includes four short double-helical elements and three loops (D, anti-codon, and T loops). Further hydrogen bonds mediate the characteristic L-shaped molecular structure. tRNAs have two regions of fundamental functional importance: the anti-codon, which is responsible for specific mRNA codon recognition, and the 3' end, to which the tRNAs corresponding amino acid is attached (by aminoacyl-tRNA synthetases). tRNAs cope with the degeneracy of the genetic code in two manners: having more than one tRNA (with a specific anti-codon) for a particular amino acid; and 'wobble' base-pairing, i.e. permitting non-standard base-pairing at the 3rd anti-codon position. Lineage: Eukaryota; Metazoa; Chordata; Actinopteri; Esociformes; Umbridae. The record is from RNAcentral.